GCCGGUGUGUUGGAACUGGCAGACGAGACGGACUCAAAAUCCGUUGGUGGCAACACCGUGUGGGUUCAAGUCCCACCACCGGCACCA
RNAcentral lists this transfer RNA (87 nucleotides) under Oscillospiraceae bacterium. RNAcentral describes it as "tRNA-Leu". It matches the Rfam family "tRNA". Rfam says of the family: Transfer RNA (tRNA) molecules are approximately 80 nucleotides in length. Their secondary structure includes four short double-helical elements and three loops (D, anti-codon, and T loops). Further hydrogen bonds mediate the characteristic L-shaped molecular structure. tRNAs have two regions of fundamental functional importance: the anti-codon, which is responsible for specific mRNA codon recognition, and the 3' end, to which the tRNAs corresponding amino acid is attached (by aminoacyl-tRNA synthetases). tRNAs cope with the degeneracy of the genetic code in two manners: having more than one tRNA (with a specific anti-codon) for a particular amino acid; and 'wobble' base-pairing, i.e. permitting non-standard base-pairing at the 3rd anti-codon position. Lineage: Bacteria; Bacillati; Bacillota; Clostridia; Eubacteriales; Oscillospiraceae. The record is from RNAcentral.